This 1345-nucleotide ribosomal RNA is filed under the name uncultured bacterium. RNAcentral describes it as "partial 16S ribosomal RNA". It matches the Rfam family "Bacterial small subunit ribosomal RNA", at positions 28 to 1381 of the family's 1533-position model. The record is from RNAcentral.
GACGAACGCUGGCGGCGUGCUUAACACAUGCAAGUCGAACGGAAAGGCCCUGCUUUUGUGGGGUGCUCGAGUGGCGAACGGGUGAGUAACACGUGAGUAACCUGCCCUUGACUUUGGGAUAACUUCAGGAAACUGGGGCUAAUACCGGAUAGGAGCUCCUGCUGCAUGGUGGGGGUUGGAAAGUUUCGGCGGUUGGGGAUGGACUCGCGGCUUAUCAGCUUGUUGGUGGGGUAGUGGCUUACCAAGGCUUUGACGGGUAGCCGGCCUGAGAGGGUGACCGGCCACAUUGGGACUGAGAUACGGCCCAGACUCCUACGGGAGGCAGCAGUGGGGAAUAUUGCACAAUGGGCGGAAGCCUGAUGCAGCAACGCCGCGUGCGGGAUGACGGCCUUCGGGUUGUAAACCGCUUUCGCCUGUGACGAAGCGUGAGUGACGGUAAUGGGUAAAGAAGCACCGGCUAACUACGUGCCAGCAGCCGCGGUGAUACGUAGGGUGCGAGCGUUGUCCGGAUUUAUUGGGCGUAAAGGGCUCGUAGGUGGUUGAUCGCGUCGGAAGUGUAAUCUUGGGGCUUAACCCUGAGCGUGCUUUCGAUACGGGUUGACUUGAGGAAGGUAGGGGAGAAUGGAAUUCCUGGUGGAGCGGUGGAAUGCGCAGAUAUCAGAGGAACACCAGUGGCGAAGGCGGUUCUCUGGGCCUUUCCUGACGCUGAGGAGCGAAAGCGUGGGGAGCGAACAGGCUUAGAUACCCUGGUAGUCCACGCUGUAAACGGUGGGUACUAGGUGUGGGGUCCAUUCCACGGGUUCCGUGCCGUAGCUAACGCUUUAAGUACCCCGCCUGGGGAGUACGGCCGCAAGGCUAAAACUCAAAGGAAUUGACGGGGCCCCGCACAAGCGGCGGAGCAUGCGGAUUAAUUCGAUGCAACGCGUAGAACCUUACCUGGGUUUGACAUGGAUCGGGAGUGCUCAGAGAUGGGUGUGCCUCUUUUGGGGUCGGUUCACAGGUGGUGCAUGGCUGUCGUCAGCUCGUGUCGUGAGAUGUUGGGUUAAGUCCCGCAACGAGCGCAACCCUUGUUCACUGUUGCCAGCACGUUAUGGUGGGGACUCAGUGGAGACCGCCGGGGUCAACUCGGAGGAAGGUGGGGAUGACGUCAAGUCAUCAUGCCCCUUAUGUCCAGGGCUUCACGCAUGCUACAAUGGCUGGUACAGAGAGUGGCGAGCCUGUGAGGGUGAGCGAAUCUCGGAAAGCCGGUCUCAGUUCGGAUUGGGGUCUGCAACUCGACCUCAUGAAGUCGGAGUCGCUAGCAAUCGCAGAUCAGCAACGCUGCGGUGAAUACGUUCCCGGGGCU